UACAGAGGGGGCAAGCGUUGUUCGGAAUUACUGGGCGUAAAGGGCGCGUAGGCGGCCCGCUAAGUCGAACGUGGAAUCCCCGAGCUCAACUCGGGAACUGCGUCCGAUACUGGCGGGCUUGAAUCCGGGAGAGGGAUGCGGAAUUCCAGGUGUAGCGGUGAAAUGCGUAGAUAUCUAGAGGAACACCGGUGGCGAAGGCGGCAUCCUGGACCGGCAUUGACGCUGAGGCGCGAAAGCUAGGGGAGCAAACGGG
RNAcentral lists this ribosomal RNA (253 nucleotides) under uncultured bacterium. RNAcentral's name for it is "partial 16S ribosomal RNA". It matches the Rfam family "Bacterial small subunit ribosomal RNA", at positions 524 to 776 of the family's 1533-position model. The record is from RNAcentral.